Molecule: non-coding RNA, 135 nt
Organism: Triticum aestivum (bread wheat)
Lineage: Eukaryota; Viridiplantae; Streptophyta; Magnoliopsida; Poales; Poaceae
Source: Rfam
AAAGUACUCCCUCCGUCCCAAAAUUUUUGUCUUAGAUUUGUCUAGAUACGGAUGUAUCAAGUCACAUUUUAGUAUUAGAUACAUCCGUAUCUAGACAAAUCUAAGACAAGAAAUUUGGGACAGAGGGAGUAGUUG